Molecule: non-coding RNA, 170 nt
Organism: Parasteatoda tepidariorum (common house spider)
Lineage: Eukaryota; Metazoa; Arthropoda; Arachnida; Araneae; Theridiidae
Source: RefSeq, a predicted model, not a curated record
CUCUAUUUAAUAUAAGGUAGAUACUGAACAGUGUUUUUAGUAAUAAUUAGACAAUGGUUGUAAUUAAGUUGCUGUCAUCAAUUCUAGUAUUUAUAACAUUUUCAACUGCACAUGCACAAGAUUGCGAACAUGAUGAAUCCGAAGCUAUGCAGACAUUAGCUAAGCUGGCG